Cygnus atratus (black swan) is the source of this 1049-nucleotide long non-coding RNA. RefSeq lists it as uncharacterized. The record is from RefSeq and is a predicted model, not a curated record. NCBI's taxonomy places the organism in Eukaryota, Metazoa, Chordata, Aves, Anseriformes, Anatidae. The transcript has 3 exons.
AGGGGAAAUUACCCGCGGGGAAGCAUCCAGGCACAUCCUAAUCCUGCCCCCCUCUCGCACACCCCACGCUCCCGGCUCCGAGCCCCCCCGGGGUCCGGCUUUCCGAGGAGGAAAAACAGCGUGCGAGGGCAAGCACAGCGGCACGCAGAGCCGCAGCGAGUGGGCACAGAUUCCCUGAGGCUGGGCUGGCUUGUCCUUGCUGUGGGAGCUGCGACCAACAGGCCUUGGCUGUCACCUGGACACCUCCGCCUACCCGGGAAGCUCCGGGGGUUCCCUUGUGCUGGCAACGCCUGCCCCUCACAAGGUAAAAGAGCUGCCUCUCCUCCAUCUCCCGGUCACUACAAUUUUGUCUGUGCCCAGAGCCCCGGUGCUCCUCCAGGAUGUGAGCGGUGGCAUCACAGAACAAAGCUUGCAGGGAACAGGAUGCUGAGACCAUGCCUGGACAGUGAAGCCCCACACUGGCAAAACUGGUGGAAGAGAUCCCUUGUCUGAAAGGAAGGACAGUGUCUCCUGAAGGUUUGCUGGGUCAGCUGAGCUUUGAGUGGGAUGCAGGACACCACCUGCUCCCCACUGGCCAGAGAAGGGGUGUGCAGAAGAGGAAAGGAAAGGUGGAGAGAGCGGUACAUGAAAAGCCUAAGCAAACUCUAUUCUUCCAUGUCGGAAAGCAAGAAAACACAGAAUAUGCACAUGGGGUGCGGAGGGCGGCUGUUCUUGGAGGGAGAGGAGAGGAGAUGAGCAUGGCAGAUGGCAGGGUUUAGGGUCAGUUACUCUUAACUGCAACUGCAGCAAAAGCAAUCAGCACUAGUUAGAAGAAUACAUCAAGGAUCUGUGUGUGUUUAAGUGCAUUUGUGGGUGUGUGCACGUACAGCUGGUCUGUUGCAGCGUGCAUGCAUAUGUGUGUGUCGGGAGGGAAGGGGAGCUGGGACUGUACAUUGCUUAAAGAAAGCCAUUUCAGCUCUGGUUUAAUUUGAAAUACACAGCUUCUGGUGGGAAUGGAGUUGAAGAUUUUGUAUUCCACUUUAAAAUAGUAAAUGUUGUGUAUUCAAAGA